GACGAACGCUGGCGGCGUGCCUAAUACAUGCAAGUUGAGCGCUGAAGGCUGGUACUUGUACCAACUGGAUGAGCAGCGAACGGGUGAGUAACGCGUGGGGCAUCUGCCUUUGAGCGGGGGACAACAUUUGGAAACGAAUGCUAAUACCGCAUAAAAACUUUAAACACAAGUUUUAAGUUUGAAAGAUGCAAUUGCAUCACUCAAAGAUGAUCCCGCGUUGUAUUAGCUAGUUGGUGAGGUAAAGACUCACCAAGGGGAGGAUACAUAGCCCAACUGAGAGGAUGAUCAGCCAGAUUGAGACUGUGACACGGCACAAAGUCACACGGGAGGCAGCAAGAGUGAUUCUUGGGCAAUGGGCGAAAGUCAGACCGAGAAACGCCGCGUGAGGGAAGAAGGUCUUCGGAUCGUAAAACUCGGUUGGUAGGGAAGAACGUGGGUGAGAGUGGAAAGCUCAGCAAGUGACGGUAACUACCCAGAAAGCGACGGCUAACUACGUG
This 497-nucleotide ribosomal RNA is filed under the name uncultured bacterium. Its description in RNAcentral is "partial 16S ribosomal RNA". It matches the Rfam family "Bacterial small subunit ribosomal RNA", at positions 28 to 507 of the family's 1533-position model. The record is from RNAcentral.